AACGAGUCUGUAGAAGAAAGUAAACUUUUCUCCCCAUUCAGAGUGGGCUUUGAGUCUUCCUGCACCAAACACGGCCCGCUAAGAGCCGCCCUGGAAAUGAUCCCUCGCAACCGCCCCGUCCUGCCCUCCCGGCGCUGACCAUCGGUCGGCGCUGGCAUCCCGGAGGUCACUCUCUGCUCCCCAACUAGGUCCCGAGGCGUGCAACUCCGGAAAGCAGCCCGCACCGGACCCCGGGCGGCUCGGCGGAGAGGCAGAGCCUCGUGGUCCCGGCUGACCAACCGGCUCCCCGGCCGCAGCCCGGCGCUGGCGGGUCGCCGCCCCGGCGCGCAGGCCCCGGCCCCGCGCGGCCGCUCGGAAAACGCGGCGGGCGGAACCCGCACGCGGAAGCGCCGGCCGCACUGAGCAUGCCCAGUUGCAGGGCCGACCAGAGGAGUUUUCUUUCUUUUUCUUUUCUUUCUUUCUUCUUUUCCUUUUUUUAAAAUUGUUAAGUAGGAGGCCGUCCCCGCACCCCCACCGCAGCCUCCCCAGCUCCCCAGGCCUAAGCAGCUGCCAUGGCCGAGGUCCCCGGCGCGGCGCUGUCCCAGGCGGGUUGGUAUCUUUCAGAUGAAGGCAUUGAAGCUUGCACAAGUUCUCCUGAUAAAGUCAAUCUAAAUGACAUCAUCUUGAUUGCUCUCAAUACAGACUUGAGAACAAUUGGCAAGAAAUUCCUCCCUAGUGACAUCAACGGUGGAAAGGUAGAAAAGCUUGAAGGUCCAUGUGUUUUGCAAAUUCAGAAAAUUCGCAAUGUUGCUGCGCCAAAGGAUAAUGAAGAGUCUCAGGCUGCUCCGAGAAUGUUGCGACUGCAGAUGACUGAUGGUCAUACAAGUUGCACAGCAGUAGAAUACAGUUAUAUGUCAAAAAUAAGCCUGAACACACCACCUGGAACUAAAGUUAAGCUCUCAGGCAUCGUGGAUAUAAAAAAUGGAUUCCUGCUCCUGAAUGACUCCAACACCACAGUCCUUGGGGGAGAAGUGGAACACCUUAUUGAGAAGUGGGAGCUACAGAGAAGCUUGUCAAAACACAAUAGAAGCAAUAUUGGAACUGAAGGUGGACCACCUCCUUUUGUGCCUUUUGGACAGAAGUGUGUGUCUAAUGUCCAAAUGGAUAGCAGAGAACUUGAUCAAAGGAAGACACUGCAAGUUACAAUGCCUGUCAAAUCCACAAAUGAUAAUGAUGAAUUUGAAAAGCAAAGGACUGCUGCUAUUGCAGAGGUUGCAAAGAGCAAAGAAACCAAGACAUUUGGAGGAGGUGGUGGUAGUGCAAGAAGUAAUCUCAAUAUGAGUGCUGCUGGUAACCGAAAUAGGGAAAUUUUACAGAAAGAAAAGCCAACCAAAUCAGAGGGGAAACAUGAAGCUGUCUAUAGAGAACUGGUUGAUGAGAAGGCUCUGAAGCACAUAACAGAAAUGGGCUUCAGUAAGGAAGCAUCAAGGCAAGCUCUUAUGGAUAAUGGCAACAACUUAGAAGCAGCAUUGAAUGUACUCCUUAACAGCAAUAAACAAAAACCUGUUUCAGGUCCACCUCUGAGAGGUAAAGGAAAAGGCAGGGGGCGAAUAAGAACUGAAGAUGAAGAAGAAAUGGGAAAUGCAAGGCCAUCAGCACCAAGCACAUUAUUUGAUUUCUUGGAGUCUAAAAUGGGGACUUUGAGUAUGGAAGAGCCUAAAUCACAACCGCAGCAGCUACAUCAGGGGCAACACAGAUUGUUGAAUACUGAGCAAAAUGGAAUAAAAGACAGUAAUCAAACAAGAUAUCUUCCUCGGAAUGAUACCAGACAGCCAAGAAAUGAAAAACCGCCUCGUUUUCAAAGAGACACCCAAAAUUCGAAGUCAGUUUUAGAAGGCAGUGGAUUGCCUAGAAAUAGAGGUACUGAAAGACCAAGUACUUCUUCGGGAUCUGAAGGAUGGGCUGACGAGAGAAUGAGAUAUGAUAGACCCUAUUCUAGAUAUGAUAGGACUAAAGACACCUCAUACUCUUUAGGUUCUCAGCACAAUGAUGGUGCUUUUAAAAAAAGGGAAAACUCUAUGCAAAGCAGAUCAGGAAGAAGUCCAGCCUACGCAGAGGCAAAAGAAAAUCCACUUCCUCAAGAAUCCAUAGACUAUAAUAAUCAAAAACGUGGGAAAAGAGAAAACCAAACAGCAAGUCCUGAUAAUUUUUAUGACAGGAAACCACGAACAAUAAAUAAUGAAGCUUUCAGUGGUGUAAAAAUUGAAAAACAUUUUCCUGUAAAUACCAAUUACCAGAAUUCUGUCACAACUAAUAGUUUCAUUGGUGUUCCAAAUGGAGAGACAGAAAUGCCACUGAAGGGAAGGCGAGUAGGACCUAUUAAGCCAACAGGACCCAGCACAGCCACACCCUAUGAUGAUAAACUAUUUUACAAUAGUGGUCCCAAAAGAAGAUGUGGGCCAAUUAAACCAGAAAAAGUACUAGAACCAUCUAUUCCUGUGGAGUAUGCAAAAGUGUGGAAACCUGGAGAUGAAUGUUUUGCACUUUAUUGGGAAGACAAUAAGUUUUACCGAGCAGAAGUUGAAGCUCUCCAUUCUUCAGGUAUGACAGCAGUUGUUAAAUUCACUGAUUAUGGAAACUAUGAAGAGGUGCUACUAAGCAACAUCCGGCCCAUUCAAACAGAGGCAUGGCUCCAGCGGAGCUGGACAUGCACAGGAGGAAUCAGAAGAACCGGGUCGAGUCCUGGCUCUGCCACUUACUACCUGUUUGACUUUGGAAAGGAGAUGGCAAUAGAUCAGAGUUAAAAGUUUUUCAGCAGUCUCACUGAAAACCUAGAUUCUUAGCUAGAGGAAUAGUCAUGGAGAGAAAAGACUAAAGAUUUGGUGGCCAUUUCUUUUAUAUAGAGGCUGAGUAGAGCUAAGAAAGAAAGAACACUUACCUACUGGAUCACAUCUGGUGUUAUAAUAGAUCAAGGGAACUUUAUGAGGGCAUAAGAAGAGUUUAUAGCUCUACUUGGUCCAACUUCUCCUUCUCCCCACUCCCUCCCAUAAUAUAAGAAUGCUUCAUCUGGCUAUGUCUAAGUAAUAGUAAUAAUAGUCACUUACAUGAACUGCUUGCUAUUAAUGCCUAAUUACCAUGGAGCACAAUAACCAUUACUCAUGUCAUGAUUGAAUUAACUUUCUUAAAGCUUCUCUUUUUUAUUUUAUUUUUACAGCCUUGAACCAUUGACUUAUGCUCAGUAUGGUUUCUUGCUGAAGUAGCAGUGUCAUCUUUCUUAACUAAAAAUUAGAGAGAAGUAUUGAACUCUGGUAAUAAUCAAAUGCAAAUUGAAACAAUUAAGUGCAGUGUUAAGUUUGUGCAUUAAUGGAGGGAAAUUAAAUGGUAAUGCUUAUGCUGUCCAAGAUGCAGUGGUAUGAGUACUCUUACACAUUGCUAAUGGCAGUGUAAAUUGAUGUGAUGCUUCCAGUUUUUUCCCAAGCCUUAAGUGUUCAUACCCUUUAAACCAAUAAUCCUAUAGUUGUUCAUCUCUCCUAAGGAAAAAGCAAAGAAAAUAAGUGAAUUGCUGAGAAAUGAUUACUGCAGCAUUAUUAUAAUAAUAAAAAGCUAGGAACUACCUCAAUAUCCACCAAUAAGAGAAUGGUAAAAUAAAUUAUCAUCCAUCUGUGGGUGAAAUGUUAUACAGCUGUGAUAAAAAUCAUUAUGAAAGAUGUAAUAUGGGAAAUAUUUAUAAGUGAAUUAAAGCAGUUAAUAGAUUUGAACAAAAUUAUACUCAGAGUAGUGGUUGUCUUGGAAUAGUAGAGUUAUGUAUAAUCUCUAUGUAUGGUAUAUAUACACAUAUGUUUUUUCAAUUUCCUAAACUUUCUGUAAUUGCAUUAUAUAUUUCAUUUG
Molecule: RNA transcript, 3867 nt
Organism: Pipistrellus kuhlii (Kuhl's pipistrelle)
Lineage: Eukaryota; Metazoa; Chordata; Mammalia; Chiroptera; Vespertilionidae
Gene: TDRD3
Gene name: tudor domain containing 3
Exons: 15
Source: RefSeq, a predicted model, not a curated record